Molecule: transfer RNA, 86 nt
Filed under: Beijerinckiaceae bacterium
Lineage: Bacteria; Pseudomonadati; Pseudomonadota; Alphaproteobacteria; Hyphomicrobiales; Beijerinckiaceae
Also listed under: 3 other names
Description: tRNA-Leu
Rfam family: tRNA
About the family: Transfer RNA (tRNA) molecules are approximately 80 nucleotides in length. Their secondary structure includes four short double-helical elements and three loops (D, anti-codon, and T loops).
Source: RNAcentral
GGCCUCUUGGCGAAACAGGUAGACGCACGGCACUUAAAAUGCCGAGCCCAAAAGGCGUCCGGGUUCGAGUCCCGGAGAGGCCACCA